This 492-nucleotide ribosomal RNA is filed under the name uncultured bacterium. RNAcentral's name for it is "partial 16S ribosomal RNA". It matches the Rfam family "Bacterial small subunit ribosomal RNA", at positions 29 to 507 of the family's 1533-position model. The record is from RNAcentral.
AGUGAACGCUGGCGGUAGGCCUAACACAUGCAAGUCGAACGGCAGCACAGUAAGAGCUUGCUCUUACGGGUGGCGAGUGGCGGACGGGUGAGGAAUACAUCGGAAUCUACUUUUUCGUGGGGGAUAACGUAGGGAAACUUACGCUAAUACCGCAUACGACCUACGGGUGAAAGCAGGGGAUCUUCGGACCUUGCGCGAUUGAAUGAGCCGAUGUCGGAUUAGCUAGUUGGCGGGGUAAAGGCCCACCAAGGCGAGGAUCCGUAGCUGGUCUGAGAGGAUGAUCAGCCACACUGGAACGGAGACACGGUCCAGACUCCUACGGGAGGCAGCAGUGGGGAAUAUUGGACAAUGGGCGCAAGCCUGAUCCAGCCAUACCGCGUGGGUGAAGAAGGCCUUCGGGUUGUAAAGCCCUUUUGUUGGGAAAGAAAAGCAGCAGGUUAAUACCCCGCUGUUCUGACGGUACCCAAAGAAUAAGCACCGGCUAACUUCGUG